Daphnia magna is the source of this 1689-nucleotide long non-coding RNA. RefSeq lists it as uncharacterized. NCBI's taxonomy places the organism in Eukaryota, Metazoa, Arthropoda, Branchiopoda, Diplostraca, Daphniidae. The record is from RefSeq and is a predicted model, not a curated record. The transcript has 6 exons.
UGGUGCUUUCUUCUUGCCUUUGCGCGUUCGCCACUCACAACCGUCUUGAAGGCGACAACCCCAAUUUCCAGUAUGGCAAGCUCCACGCUUUAGUAGCCUCAACUGUCCUGAUCGUCAGUUUUUCAGUCACUGUCAUCUGCUUGGUGUGACAGCAACGAUUAAGUAAACAGCCAGCUAUUACUAGAGUGGCGUCUAGCGUCAGCAGCAGAAUGUCCACUUGCUCAUCAUCGACUUCUUUUCGAUGCGUUCCAGUACACACCCAGGAGCAGCACUCGUACCAGCACCACGUCCAUCGACUCAAAUAAUUUCCACCAUCUUCCCAUAAGCAAAGGUGCCCUGCUAGUUCAAGAAUCUUUUUACACCGGCGAUCCUUCUUCUUUUAACGAAUACAACAAAUCCGCAGCGUUGAUGGUUGAAAGUUUAUUCAGUCCGUGUGAUGAUGCGCCUGGUUAUGGAAUGGAUGUGCCGGCCGAUGAGCUUCACAGUCGUAAGGGAUCCUUGGCGUCGUUGGGCAGGAACCCACAGGUGAUGCUGGCUGGAAUGCGACUGACAGAGCCAGAGGAAUCGUUCGUGAUCGCGACGAUGAGUUCCAAAUCACUAGACAUGUCGGUCUCCUUCUAACGCUUGGCUCUUCCAUGUUUGUCGGGAUCGCCGUCUGCGUGUAGACUUUGGUGAUGGAAGAAAUGACUGGCAUCUACGUCAUGUUACUUUUUCUAGACGAAACUCUUAAUUUCGGACAAGAAAUUUUUGUUUUUGUCAUUUUCGGCCUAGAACCUCGCCGUUUCCUGGCUCCUGUUUGGUCGGGAUUGAAACGGCGCAACAAGCUGAAGACGGUCGCCAGUUUGUUGUCGUUAACAGAAGCCGGCGAUGAGAACAAAAGAAACGAGCAGACCGUUGACCACACUUGCGAGCAGUUCAUGAUGUUCUACAUGGACAAAUGCAUCCGAGAUUUGGUCUGCGAUCGCAAGUGGCAACUGAAGGAAUACAGAGACGUAUUCUGUGGCAGCGAAAUAGUCGACUGGCUACUUUUGAUGGGUUUGGCACGCGAUCGUAGCCAGGCAGAGAAGUAAGGACAAGGUUUGCUUGACGGAGGUAUAAUAAACCACGUGGACGGCCGAAAAGAUUUCCACGAUCAGCCAUAUUUUUAUUCGUUUACCCAGUGAUUAGCUAAUGCCAAUAAGAGGCUUGUUGACAUUGUAAUUACUUGACGUGAUAGUUAUUGAGACAAACGUCUGUUAAGCAGGCUACGUGAUGAAUUUCAGCGUCUCUCUCACGAGUUCUUUCCUGUAGGCGAUCAACAACUGCAAUGAUCAUGUUCUACUUAUUUAUCGAUAACUCUGUGGACUUUCGUGUUGUCCAUCUGUCGUUGAUUUUUCAAAGCUGAUUUGUAUGACCUUGGCCUUUUAUGUCCUUCUCGAUGAACUUUUCUAGCUUCACGAGAAUUCGAUUUUGUCGAACCAUAACAACUUAUUUGAAACAAAUUGCCAACUAUUUUUUAAAACAACUAUCGUUUUAUAUUUGUGUGUGAUUUUUUAUCGUUUUCCUUUAAUUGCCACCGUUAUAUUAUUAAUUGUUCGGAUUUUUCUUUGUACGUUUUGCGAUAGAAAAAAUGAUUGAAAGAUAUUAUGUAUUCCGCCAAAUACGAGAAGCACACUUUAAAAUGGAAGAAAAAUACAUCGUGAAAAACAA